UUAAGUAUGAAAAGGGCUUAUGGUGGAUGCCUAGGCACCAUCAGGCGAUGAAGGACGCGGCAAGCUGCGAAAAUUCUCGGGGAGGCGCAAACAGCCAUCGAUCCGGGAGUGUCCGAAUGGGGAAACCC
RNAcentral lists this ribosomal RNA (128 nucleotides) under uncultured Planctomycetota bacterium. RNAcentral describes it as "uncultured planctomycete partial 23S ribosomal RNA". It matches the Rfam family "Bacterial large subunit ribosomal RNA", at positions 1 to 129 of the family's 2925-position model. The record is from RNAcentral. Lineage: Bacteria; Pseudomonadati; Planctomycetota.